RNA transcript from Macrobrachium nipponense, 4473 nucleotides. RefSeq lists it as uncharacterized. The record is from RefSeq and is a predicted model, not a curated record. The transcript has 3 exons. Lineage: Eukaryota; Metazoa; Arthropoda; Malacostraca; Decapoda; Palaemonidae.
AGAGCCUUCAUUCCCUCGCAAGAAGUCUCACAAGUAUUGUCAAUAUUUGAGUCGAGUGUCAUUCAGAGCAUCGUGGCUUCAUUUUUCAUUUAUUCUUCGCGUCUAAAAGAGUGAUUAGUGGAUAAUGAAUGCAGAACGUGCUGCUGAAAUUACGCAAGUUUUAGCAGUAUUUAAAUGAUUUUAUGUUGGCUAUCGAUUCCAGCAUUUCUCCACCACGGUGUUGCCAUACGGUGUGAUCAGUGCGGAAAAAUUAACAUUUUUAUUUUCUCAGAAAAUAUUACAUGAUUCUCAAAACAGCAAAACGCUAGUUAUUAUAUGUGCCAGAACACAAACGGUGAUAAGAAUAAAAUUCUACGAUAAAGUUUAAUUCGUGCUAUAAAAAGGAACGAUAAAGAAAAGAGCCAACUGUAACAUCCGGAGGGGUGUAGUUUGGCUCAGCGACUAGCUGAGCGAUCUGGAAGCGAAGUGGGAACAAUAAGCAACCCCGUGCUACAGCGAGUCUAUACACAAAUCUCCAUUCAAGAUGGCAGACAAGGAGUUUGAAGAAUUUCGCCAAUUUUUUGAGCAGCUUCCACAACAUAUAAAGGCUCCAUCCAACUGCUACACGUGAGUACCAAUGUGCCCUUCACUAGUUUACGGAAGGUAAUGAGGCCAUAGCAGCAGUAAAGGUCUGUUUAUUUCUGUAUCGUACGAGGAAUAUAUAUAUUAAGGUAAGUUAUGUGGCCUUUAAUUUACGAUGUUCUUUAGCAGUAGCGUAAAAUAUUUCAAAACUCUUUGUAAGUAAACUGGAAUAUCUACGUUACAUUUCAGAAGCAAAAACACUUGGCUAAUAACUUUCAAAGAAACCGAGAAUAAUAAAGAAAAUGUAUGCCAAUACAUAUCAAUUUUCACGUACCUACGCACGCAUACAUGUGUACAUAUUACAGGCGUACAAACAAGAAAACACGUAAACACGCUCGCUCAAAUACACACACGCACACCCCUACCACCAAGAUAUGCUAUCCGUAGCCUCUGGACGAAAACAGUGACCCUUAAUGGGGUCCCUUGACACCAACAUCAUUAGCCCUCAAGAAAAGCCCACAAUAACAGGUCAUUAAUCAUGUAGGAAAUGGAAACACACAAAUGCACCAACGCAUUAAGGAUGUAAAUCCUAAAACAGUAACUACAGAAAAGGAAAAGUGGGAAUAAAAACGUUACGGUGGAACUAAAAUUGACAAGUUGGAAAUGGACAAAUAGGGAAAGGUAAAAAAAUAUGCAUUAUCUUACACAGAAAUGUUAAAAUGUAGGAAAGAGAACAAAAACAUGUUAAACCGAAGAAAGAAAUUAAUGGUGAAAGGAACUUUUAAAUAGUUCCUUUCAAAUAUAAAGCCAUUUCAACACAACACAGGCAAAAAUUACGGGAAUGUCAAAUAAUGUAACAGCAUAAUAUGAACGUAAACAAAACGACCAAUAAACGACGCAAUUGGAAAAUUGGUGUUAAAAUGCACAACUAUGGUAUGAAAGAUAAUGCAAAAGUGACAAAACACAAACUAAGACUGGAAAGGUUAAAAAAAAAAAAGACUUUCAACAUGAUUGACCGUGGACUAAAAUUCACAACCAACACAAUAUGGAUACCAAUCUUAGAGGUGACAUUAUCACAGCUAAAAAUGCCAUAAUACAAAGCCGCUGCCUCAAAAAUGCAUGAUCAUUUAAAAACCUAAAGUCACAGAAACGUCCAAAAUAUCACAAUUUAUAUAUUUGCUGUUCAUAUGUAACUAAAGCAGAUAAAACGCCGAGUUUACGAAGCCACAUUUUUAAGCGCAUACCGAACUAGGAAAUGUUUGAAUUAAUACCCCUCUUUGGUGGCAUCUUUUUUCAAUGGCGUUCGAAAAUACAAAAAUGCCAUGACAUGGAAUCAGUUAACUUUAGCUAAAAUUUACUCCGACUUUCUCCUGAAACGUUUACCUAGAUGUUAAAAUUUCAGGGAUUUCAUCUUUUGGUUGGUUAUAUGCAAAGUGAACAGGAAAUAUCAGAGCCCCUAACAGACAGUCCUUACUCAAUGGAUAUUAUCGGUUCGAAAUUAACCAAGAACGCACAAUGAGAGAGAGAGAGAGAGAGAGAGAGAGAACUGGAUGGUGCCAGUGAAAGAGUUCUUAAACGACGCACUUAAACUGCCACCAGAAUGGCUUCGGGAACUCUUGUGUCCUCGGCCUCACUGCUUCUCUCUCGAGUUCUAAGCAUAAUUUCCUUUGCUUCAGCGCGGUAACUUGAGAAAUGACCUACCCAAGACCAAACUCCGUGGAAGCACUUACUGCUUAUGGGCGAGAAGUAUGCAGGCCCUAAAUUUAAUGGCAAACGUACUUAACAGUUAGAUCCACUAUAAUACUGCCAAUGAAAGAUAUAACUUGAAAUAAAUAUUCACAGCAGCGUAUACAUGACCGAGUCUUCAUACAUUCUGGCGAAAUGUAGUCACUCUCAUUUAUUAGCUGAAAGACAUCACUUCAGAAUCAAAACUCCCGAGAACAUUUAUUAAUCUGAGCAAAAACCUUGCUGGCAAUCAAUUGCUUAUUUUGCUUGGUCUUACUACGAAAAUUAACAAACUCAGCUAUCUAAAUAUCACUGCACCAAGGAAUUUAAUGUAUCAAGGGACACUAUAAGAAAGGAAACUAAACUUCUCCAUUUCCGAACAUGUUCCGACUACAAUGGUGUCUCAUUAAAAAACAAACCCUCACUUCAUUGUAAAACUACAGAAACAGACUAAAACUACAAAAACACACAGAGUUACAAAGCACAAAGCAUCAAAGAAAACAAGCUAAUGAUCUUGGAUAAGCAUCCUCCAGCCCGAGACAGGAGCCGGCUACGGUAACUUGGGAAUUUGCAAACUUUGAAAUUCUAAACUUACCACGCAUGAAAUUUUCAACGCAUCUCAUUAACAUACAACAUUAGCAACGCAGGAACCAUAUAGGGGGUCAUUUUAGUGUACCAAAUUCAGAACAAAUUCUAACAUACUUCCAUUCAUAGCUACUUCCGGAAAAUGAUUCCAUUUUGAAAAAAAGCGCAAACACACACACAACCAACCAACCAACAACAACAACAACAACAAUAACCAAUACUUCUUUGAAAUCUUGUAAAAAUAUUUAUCGAUAGUAAAAUACAAUUUGGACAUUACACCUAUAGUACUACAUCAGGUUUACAAUGAAAGCCAGCAUUACCUAAAGGCAUAAUUCUAACAGAUUUAAUGUGCAGUAACAAAAAUGUAACUCAGAGAGAGAGAGAGAGAGAGAGAGAGAGAGAGAGAGAGAGAGAGAGAGAGAGAGAGAGAGAGAGAGAGAGAGAGAGAGAGAGAGAGACCCUACCGCAGGAGGGGUUAGCAGGAGGCGCAGUAAUUCAAUAUAUCUUCCAUUACAAGAAGAUAAACAGAAUGAACCAGAUUGAGGUAAACCUAACCUCUAGUACUUAUUGCCUUCACCGAAGGGUACACUAUCCUCUUUAUUUUUACAAAUAAGAGAAAUUUUUUUACUACAUUUUAACCUAAUUACCGAGUGUAAAGAUGGACGAAAGGGCUAAAAGCUUCAGUUGUCUUCUAACUGCUCUAACUUCCAGAGUGGGUAUAAAAACCAAAGACUCUCUCUCUCUCUCUCUCUCUCUCUCUCUCUCUCUCUCUCUCUCUCUCCAUUUUACGGACCCAAAACGCUGAAAACUUUUAGGUAAAUUGUACGCCUCCACUUCGAGGUAAUCUACAACAGGGAACAGAACGGAAUCCACACCUAAAAUCGAACACCCAGUAAAACGCUGUUCGACUGCGGUGAUAGUUACAAUGGAUUAUCUACGAACAAAAUCUGUAGUCCUAAUUAUAUAAUGAGCGUAGGACUGCAUACAUGUCAAAUAACAUGGAAUCAUCACAUAUAUUUUUUGUCUGUAAUACUGUUUGUUACAAGUGACAUACUUAUUAUACUUCUACUAAAAUAUUUUGAUAGGCGCAAAUAAUGUCAAUCGCAUUCAUAAAGUAUCAAAACAAUGAUACAAGUGUCUAUAUUAAGUAUGUAUACAAGUGUCUAUAUUAAGUAUGUAUAUCAGAACAAUAUAUGUACAAACUCUACGACAGUGGUUGCAGUAAACAGUCCCUACUUCCUCGAACAUCCAAACUGUACCAAAACGACCAUACGAAAAGUCGAAAUCGCUUUUCUUCCUUGACACAUUAAGUCUGCAUAAAUAUACAUAGCUGCUUCAUCAUGGAGAAAGGGACACCACAGCUGCAGUGGUAGGGGUGUACUGUUGGAUGUAUGUGUAUGUGCGAGCAGACAAACGGAAAUACUCUCGGAUUCCCCUGCAGCUGUGGUGUUCCUCUUUCCUUGAUGAAGCAGCUAUAAUGCAUAUAUAAAUAUAAAUAUAAAUGUAAAUAUAAAUGUAAAUAUAAAUAUAAAUAUAUAUAUGUAUAUAUAUACAUACUAUAAAUUUCAGUAGAUACACGUGAAUUCAUUAAAUAAGCGAAAA